Molecule: ribosomal RNA, 497 nt
Filed under: uncultured bacterium
Lineage: Bacteria
Description: partial 16S ribosomal RNA
Rfam family: Bacterial small subunit ribosomal RNA
Source: RNAcentral
GACGAACGCUGGCGGCGUGCCUAAUACAUGCAAGUCGAACGCUGAAGGAAGGAGCUUGCUCUUUCUGGAUGAGUUGCGAACGGGUGAGUAACGCGUAGGUAACCUGCCUGGUAGCGGGGGAUAACUAUUGGAAACGAUAGCUAAUACCGCAUAAAAUUGAUUAUUGCAUGAUAGUCAAUUAAAAGGUGCAACUGCACCACUACCAGAUGGACCUGCGUUGUAUUAGCUAGUUGGUGGGGUAACGGCUCACCAAGGCGACGAUACAUAGCCGACCUGAGAGGGUGAUCGGCCACACUGGGACUGAGACACGGCCCAGACUCCUACGGGAGGCAGCAGUAGGGAAUCUUCGGCAAUGGACGGAAGUCUGACCGAGCAACGCCGCGUGAGUGAAGAAGGUUUUCGGAUCGUAAAGCUCUGUUGUAAGAGAAGAACGAGUGUGAGAGUGGAAAGUUCACACUGUGACGGUAUCUUACCAGAAAGGGACGGCUAACUACGUG